RNAcentral lists this non-coding RNA (96 nucleotides) under human gut metagenome. RNAcentral describes it as "THF riboswitch". It matches the Rfam family "THF (Tetrahydrofolate) riboswitch aptamer". Rfam says of the family: THF riboswitch presents a pseudoknot that joins P1-P2 and the loop of P3 and two THF binding. The record is from RNAcentral.
CAGAGUAGAGGUUCCUGCGUGAAGUGCUGUCAAAAUGGGGAGUUGUGUGACAGACGAAGGGCGUCCCGCCCGCGAUAGGAUCUUCGCACCCGCUGC